Molecule: ribosomal RNA, 253 nt
Filed under: uncultured bacterium
Lineage: Bacteria
Description: partial 16S ribosomal RNA
Rfam family: Bacterial small subunit ribosomal RNA
Source: RNAcentral
UACAGGGGGUGCAAACGUUGCUCGGAAUCAUUGGGCGUAAAGCGCACGUAGGCGGUCUGUUAUGUCGGACGUGAAAGCCCUUGGCUCAACUGAGGAAGUGCAUCCGAAACUGGCAGGCUAGAGUACUAAAGAGGAUCGCGGAAUUCCCGGUGUAGAGGUGAAAUUCGUAGAUAUCGGGAGGAACACCGGUGGCGAAGGCGGCGACCUGGGUAGAUACUGACGCUGAGGUGCGAAAGCGUGGGGAGCAAACAGG